This 355-nucleotide transfer-messenger RNA is filed under the name Dehalococcoidales. Its description in RNAcentral is "S120 sp011192075 Standard tmRNA". It matches the Rfam family "transfer-messenger RNA". From Rfam's summary of the family: Bacterial tmRNA, also known as 10Sa RNA or SsrA, is named for its dual tRNA and mRNA-like properties. Its role is to liberate the mRNA from a stalled ribosome. Lineage: Bacteria; Bacillati; Chloroflexota; Dehalococcoidia. RNAcentral also lists the same sequence under 2 other names. The record is from RNAcentral.
GGGGACGCACGGGUUCGACAGGGGAAGUAGGCUUCAGGAUUGCAAGCUGAGGUGCCACUACCCUCACGAAACAAGUGGAGAAAAAUAACUGACGAACCAGAAUUAGUUCUUGCAGCCUAAUUAAACAGGUUGCACGCUCAACCUGACCUAUCCUCAAUGGGUUGGGAUUGGGUGCCGAAAAGUUGAGGUGCCACAGUCCUGACGUCGGUAAGGAUUGUGAAAGAAUUAUCGACUGGCCUGGCUAAACUCGGUCAGUAGAGGUUAGCCAGGUGAGAUUAAAGAGCUGACUAAGCUUGUAGCAUAUUCUGGGCAGCUUCUUCUGGACGGGGAGUUCGAUUCUCCCCCGUCUCCACCA